RNAcentral lists this ribosomal RNA (429 nucleotides) under Chloroflexota bacterium. RNAcentral's name for it is "Chloroflexi bacterium partial 16S ribosomal RNA". It matches the Rfam family "Bacterial small subunit ribosomal RNA", at positions 355 to 776 of the family's 1533-position model. The record is from RNAcentral. Lineage: Bacteria; Bacillati; Chloroflexota.
UAGGGAAUCUUCGGCAAUGGACGAAAGUCUGACCGAGCAACGCCGCGUGAGUGAAGAAGGUUUUCGGAUCGUAAAACUCUGUUGUUAGAGAAGAACAAGGACGUUAGUAACUGAACGUCCCCUGACGGUAUCUAACCAGAAAGCCACGGCUAACUACGUGCCAGCAGCCGCGGUAAUACGUAGGUGGCAAGCGUUGUCCGGAUUUAUUGGGCGUAAAGCGAGCGCAGGCGGUUUCUUAAGUCUGAUGUGAAAGCCCCCGGCUCAACCGGGGAGGGUCAUUGGAAACUGGGAGACUUGAGUGCAGAAGAGGAGAGUGGAAUUCCAUGUGUAGCGGUGAAAUGCGUAGAUAUAUGGAGGAACACCGGUGGCGAAGGCGGCCCCCUGGACAAAGACUGACGCUCAGGUGCGAAAGCGUGGGGAGCAAACAGG